RNAcentral lists this ribosomal RNA (490 nucleotides) under uncultured bacterium. RNAcentral describes it as "partial 16S ribosomal RNA". It matches the Rfam family "Bacterial small subunit ribosomal RNA", at positions 30 to 507 of the family's 1533-position model. The record is from RNAcentral.
AUUGAACGCUGGCGGCAUGCUUUACACAUGCAAGUCGGACGGCAGCACAGAGAAGCUUGCUUCUUGGGUGGCGAGUGGCGAACGGGUGAGUAAUAUAUCGGAACGUACCGAGUAAUGGGGGAUAACUAAUCGAAAGAUUAGCUAAUACCGCAUAUUCUCUGAGGAGGAAAGCAGGGGACCUUCGGGCCUUGCGUUAUUCGAGCGGCCGAUAUCUGAUUAGCUAGUUGGUGGGGUAAAGGCCUACCAAGGCGACGAUCAGUAGCGGGUCUGAGAGGAUGAUCCGCCACACUGGGACUGAGACACGGCCCAGACUCCUACGGGAGGCAGCAGUGGGGAAUUUUGGGCAAUGGGCGCAAGCCUGAUCCAGCCAUGCCGCGUGUCUGAAGAAGGCCUUCGGGUUGUAAAGGACUUUUGUCAGGGAAGAAAAGGCUGUUGCUAAUACCGACAGCUGAUGACGGUACCUGAAGAAUAAGCACCGGCUAACUACGUG